GACGAACGCUGGCGGCGUGCUUAACACAUGCAAGUCGAACGGAAAGGCCCUGCUCUUGUUGGGUGCUCGAUUGGCGAACGGGUGAGUAACACGUGAGUAACCUGCCCUUGACUUUGGGAUAACUUCAGGAAACUGGGGCUAAUAUCGCAUAGGAGCUCCUGCUGCAUGGUGGUGGUUGGAAAGUUUCGGCGGUGGGGGAUAGACUCGCUGCUUAUCAGCUUGUUUGUGGGGUAGUGGCUUACCAAGGCUUUGACGGGUAGCCGGCAUGGGAGGGUGAACGGCCACAUUGGGACUGAGAGACGGACCAGAAUCGUACGGGCGGCAGCAGUCGGGAAUAUUGCACAAUGGGCGGAAGUCUGAUGCAGCAACCCCGCGUGCGGGAUGACGGCCUUCGGGUUGUAAACCGCUGUCGCCUGUGACGAAGCGUGAGUGACGGUAAUGGGUAAAGAAGCACCGGCUAACUACGUG
Molecule: ribosomal RNA, 468 nt
Filed under: uncultured bacterium
Lineage: Bacteria
Description: partial 16S ribosomal RNA
Rfam family: Bacterial small subunit ribosomal RNA
Source: RNAcentral